Molecule: non-coding RNA, 20 nt
Filed under: Arabidopsis thaliana (thale cress)
Lineage: Eukaryota; Viridiplantae; Streptophyta; Magnoliopsida; Brassicales; Brassicaceae
Source: RNAcentral
GAAGUAAUGCCCGCUGCGCC